Molecule: unclassified non-coding RNA, 874 nt
Filed under: uncultured Synechococcus sp.
Lineage: Bacteria; Bacillati; Cyanobacteriota; Cyanophyceae; Synechococcales; Synechococcaceae
Description: partial may contain 16S ribosomal RNA, 16S-23S ribosomal RNA intergenic spacer, and 23S ribosomal RNA
Rfam family: tRNA (bases 347-419)
Source: RNAcentral
GUCGAAGGUGGGGCUGAUGACUGGGGUGAAGUCGUAACAAGGUAUCCGUACCGGAAGGUGCGGAUGGAUCACCUCCUAACAGGGAGACAACACAAUGAUUUUGAUGCCUGAGUGUUUUUAUUCUUAGGCCGAAAUCCUGUCACCUUAGGUCGAUCGGUACCUCAGCUUUGAAGUUAAGGAUCAGCAGCAAUGUUGGUUGCUUGAUGGAGAUUUUCAGUUCCUAAACUUUGUCUAGGUCACACCCCAAAAGGGAUGAGACUCCUGGGCCAUUAGCUCAGGUGGUUAGAGCGCACCCCUGAUAAGGGUGAGGUCCCUGGUUCAAGUCCAGGAUGGCCCAUUCGGUGUUGGGGGUUUAGCUCAGUUGGUAGAGCGCCUGCUUUGCAAGCAGGAUGUCAGGAGUUCGAGUCUCCUAACCUCCACUGACCGAACUUGAUUCCCAUCUCCAAUCCUUUUGGAGUUGAGCUCGAUUGGAGUGUGAUUUAGAUGUGUCCGCUGGAUGACCCCAGCUUCCUGUCAUUCCAAGUUUUAGGUUGAAGCCUUGAAUUUGGUUGAUAAGAUGCUGGGCUCGAAUCAAGUGAUCAAGCAAUUGAUGAUUUGAUUUGAAGUUCUAGCAGAACCUUGACAACUGCAUAGGUGAGUCUGGAAAAAACAAAGCAUCUUACAGAUGCAUUGUUUUGAAUCUGAUCUUCUGAAAGGGAGAUUUGAUCUAGAACAAUGAAAAUUCUUUUGAGCAAGAGCCGAGACUCUUGAAUGUUCUUUGAUUCGUGUCGAGCGAAUCAGAGUUUGAUCUUGUUUUUAGCAAUAAAAACUUGAGAAUCUGCUUUCAACGGCGGUAAGCGUUCAGGAGGUUAAUUGGUCAAGCUACAAAGGGCUC